UCGCUAAGAGAGCAGCCCGCCCCCGAUCAGCUUGUUGGUAGGGUAACGGCCUACCAAGGCUCCGAUCGGUAGGUGGCCUGAGAGGGUGGUCACUCACACUGGGACUGAGAUACGGCCCAGACUCCUACGGGGGGCAGCAGUCUAGAAGCUUCCACAAUGGACGAAAGUCUGAUGGAGCGACGCCGCGUGUGGGAUGACAGCCGUGAGGUUGUAAACCACUGUCAGCAGGGAAGAAUGCCCCGAUGGUGAAUCGGGGAGAGACGGUGCCUGCAGAGGAAGCCCCGGCUAACUCCGUGCCAGCAGCCGCGGUAAUACGGAGGGGGCAAACGUUGUUCGGAUUUACUGGGCGUAAAGGGUGUCUAGGCGGUUCGAUUAGUCUGGUGUGAAAUAUCCUCGCUCAACGAGGAAAACGCAUUGGAAACUGUCGAGCUCGAGAGUGGAAGAGGCAGGUGGAAUUUCUGGUGUAGCGGUGGAAUGCGUAGAUAUCAGAAAGAACACUCGUGGCGAAGGCGGCCUGCUGGUCCAUUUCUGACGCUGAAGCACGAAAGCUAGGGGAGCGAACGGGAUUAGAUACCCCGGUAGUCCUAGCCGUAAACGUUGAACACUGGAUGUCGGGGGUAUCGACCCCCUCGGUGUCGGAGCUAACGCGUUAAGUGUUCCGCCUGGGGAGUACGACCGCAAGGUUGAAACUCAAAGGAAUUGACGGGGGCCCGCACAAGCGGUGGAGGAUGUGGUUUAAUUCGACGCAACGCGAAGAACCUUACCUGGGCUUAAACCGCAGGGUAAACCCUCUGAAAGGAGGGCUGCUUCGGCAAUCCUGUAGAGGUGCUGCAUGGCUGUCGUCAGCUCGUGUCGUGAGAUGUUGGGUUAAGUCCCGCAACGAGCGCAACCCUUGCUCUUAGUUACCAGCGCGUAAUGGCGGGGACUCUAAGAGGACUGCCCUCGCAAGGGGGAGGAAGGUGGGGAUGACGUCAAGUCCUCAUGGCCCUUAUGUCCAGGGCUACACACGUCCUACAAUGGCCGGUACAAAGGGCUGCAAGCUCGCGAGAGUUAGCUAAUCCCAAAAAGCCGGUCCCAGUUCGGAUUGCAGUCUGCAACUCGACUGCAUGAAGGUGGAAUCGCUAGUAAUCGUGGAUC
Molecule: ribosomal RNA, 1137 nt
Filed under: uncultured organism
Description: bacterial SSU rRNA
Rfam family: Bacterial small subunit ribosomal RNA
Source: RNAcentral